Non-coding RNA from Caenorhabditis elegans, 90 nucleotides. NCBI's taxonomy places the organism in Eukaryota, Metazoa, Nematoda, Chromadorea, Rhabditida, Rhabditidae. The record is from Ensembl.
ACAAAAACGUAAGCCCAAUGCGGGGCUCGAACCCGCGACAACCAGAUUAAGAGUCUGGUGCUCUACCGACUGAGCUAACCGGGCGGCGAA